RNAcentral lists this ribosomal RNA (321 nucleotides) under uncultured Pseudomonadota bacterium. RNAcentral describes it as "bacterial SSU rRNA". It matches the Rfam family "Bacterial small subunit ribosomal RNA", at positions 30 to 351 of the family's 1533-position model. Lineage: Bacteria; Pseudomonadati; Pseudomonadota. The record is from RNAcentral.
AUUGAACGCUGGCGGCAUGCCUUACACAUGCAAGUCGAACGGCAGCACGGGAGCAAUCCUGGUGGCGAGUGGCGAACGGGUGAGUAAUAUAUCGGAACGUGCCCAGUCGUGGGGGAUAACGCAGCGAAAGCUUUGCUAAUACCGCAUACGAUCUACGGAUGAAAGCGGGGGAUCGCAAGACCUCGCGCGAUUGGAGCGGCCGAUAUCAGAUUAGGUAGUUGGUGGGGUAAAGGCCUACCAAGCCAACGAUCUGUAGCUGGUCUGAGAGGACGACCAGCCACACUGGGACUGAGACACGGCCCAGACUCCUACGGGAGGCUG